AUUGAACGCUGGCGGCAUGCCUUACACAUGCAAGUCGAACGGCAGCACGGGUGCUUGCACCUGGUGGCGAGUGGCGAACGGGUGAGUAAUACAUCGGAACAUGUCCUGUAGUGGGGGAUAGCCCGGCGAAAGCCGGAUUAAUACCGCAUACGAUCUACGGAUGACAGCGGGGGACCUUCGGGCCUCGCGCUAUAGGGUUGGCCGAUGGCUGAUUAGCUAGUUGGGGGGGUAAAGGCCUACCAAGGCGACGAUCAGUAGCUGGUCUGAGAGGACGACAAGCCACACUGGGACUGAGACACGGCCCAGACUCCUACGGGAGGCAGCAGUGGGGAAUUUUGGACAAUGGGCGAAAGCCUGAUCCAGCAAUGCCGCGUGUGUGAAGAAGGCCUUCGGGUUGUAAAGCACUUUUGUCCGGAAAGAAAUCCUUGGCCCUAAUACGGUCGGGGGAUGACGGUACCGGAAGAAUAAGCACCGGCUAACUACGUG
This 486-nucleotide ribosomal RNA is filed under the name uncultured bacterium. Its description in RNAcentral is "partial 16S ribosomal RNA". It matches the Rfam family "Bacterial small subunit ribosomal RNA", at positions 30 to 507 of the family's 1533-position model. The record is from RNAcentral.